Long non-coding RNA from Pezoporus occidentalis (night parrot), 1663 nucleotides. RefSeq lists it as uncharacterized. The record is from RefSeq and is a predicted model, not a curated record. NCBI's taxonomy places the organism in Eukaryota, Metazoa, Chordata, Aves, Psittaciformes, Psittacidae. The transcript is spliced from 2 exons.
CAGAUCAAUCCCCGGUUAUGUUUCGCAGUGGAAAAGAAGAUUGUCAGUUUAUGGCCUCACGAGUACUCUCGUUAUAGCUCUGCUGCCAUCUGCUGACAAUUGCCUUGUACUGGGGCUCAGUGGGGCUUGGUACAGCUCUGAAUGGUGUGCUCGUGUUUACCGCAGCUCGUGGCUUUGCUGGCUUUAGAGAUGGAUGGAGCCUGUAUGGUAAGGUUUCUCUCCAGCUUCAUCUGCUGUGUGCUGGGGUGCUAAUGAGGUUGCAACUCUGAUGCCUCUGGUGCAGGAAGGGACUGUCGGGGUGGCAUGGUCCAUACCCUGUGGAUGCUCCCCUGUGGCAGCAUGGCCUACUGGUCCAUUCCCCUUAUGCCAAGGCUCCUUGCCAUCCCAUGGGUGUUCCUGCUUCCCCCUCAGCCACCAUGUGUCCAGAGCAGAAGACAAAGUCAGAGGAAAACCUGAUCUGAGUUCAGCGUUAGGCUUGCUUUGAGGAGGGAUGGACUAGAGGAGCUCUAGAGGUCCCUUCUCACCCAGCUUGUUCUUUGGUUCUGCUUUCUGCCAUUUGUUUCAGUUAUUUCUACACUGGUGGGAAGUGGUAGCAUAUGCAGCCAGAUGCUGGGGUGGGAAUGGGGCUGAGAUGUACAAACAGAGCUGGGCAGGAUGUUCCAACACAGCCCCAAAAGAGCUGAGCUACUGGGUAUGUCCAGCACCCUGGGCUCAAACCAUGAUGUUUCUCAGGAAAGCAGCUGCUGCACCACAUCCAGCUACUGCAGAAGGUUCCCAGUACCUGCAGUGAAGUGCUGAUGGUUUUCAUGGUGCUGGGUAUACCCUGAUAACUACAAAAUAUUUUUCUGACUGACCUGUAUACUCUGAGAAUUCACUUACACUGGGAUUCCUGGUAGAAAAUAUGAAGGACUAAUCUAUGAAAACCAUCUAUGAAUAAUAUGUAUUUAUUUUAUGAAUUUAUUGUAUGAAUAACGCUCUGGAAAGUAUACCCCAAGAGGCUGAAGAAAGCUGUAUCAAUGCUUUCCAGAAUGGGAAUCUAACUCUGAUGUAUUCAGUGAUGUGUCUGUUAGAUCUUUAAAGCUUCUGCUUAUUGAAUCUUUCAAUUUCUCGUGGCCGUCUGAUCAGACUGACCACCAUGCUGCAUUUCUAGGUGUGAUCCUACCCCUAUCCCACACACCCUGCCACUCAUGGCUGUCCAGCCUCGGCGAAAAUCUCUUGGUCCUAUACUGUGUCUUUAAGAACCUAUUUGUUUGUUUCAGAACAUACCUGUCAUUUUUGUCUGCUCGAGUAAUUUUCCCAGUCAAACACAAUAUGUACCUGGAAAAUUGCCAUCUGCCUCUUUGACUGCUCAGAGAAUGGUAUCAGUGUCUCUGAAUGCCACCCGCCAUCUGCCAGGCAGGCUGCCACUCUCCCAGAUCCUCACUGCUGUUUUAGGUCUAACAGCUGUACAACAGCAACAUGUACUGUUGGGUGAGUUUGUUGCUAUGAGGAAUAAACCAAUUUCUAUAUGAAGCCAAUACUGGAUAAUAGAAUAUAUGCAAGUCAUGUAGAUCAGACUUUAUUAUUCAACAGCCUUUGCAAUGACUCAGUGACUCUUUCCAAACGGAGGUGUGCAACUAACCUUAUGUUCUACAUCUGAGAUUAAACUACAGUGACAAGAAGA